Molecule: ribosomal RNA, 401 nt
Filed under: uncultured bacterium
Lineage: Bacteria
Description: bacterial SSU rRNA
Rfam family: Bacterial small subunit ribosomal RNA
Source: RNAcentral
GGGGAAUCUUGCACAAUGGGGGAAACCCUGAUGCAGCGACGCCGCGUGAACGAUGAAGCCCUUCGGGGUGUAAAGUUCUUUCGACCGGAACGAUAAUGACGGUACCGGGAGAAGAAGCUGCGGCUAACUACGUGCCAGCAGCCGCGGUAAUACGUAGGCAGCAAGCGUUGUUCGGAGUUACUGGGCGUAAAGAGUGCGUAGGCGGUUAUGCAAGACAGGUGUGAAAUCCCCGGGCUCAACCUGGGAAUUGCACUUGUGACUGCAUGACUAGAGUGCGUCAGAGGGAGGUGGAAUUCCGCGUGUAGCAGUGAAAUGCGUAGAGAUGCGGAGGAACACCGAUGGCGAAGGCAGCCUCCUGGGAUGACACUGACGCUCAUGCACGAAAGCGUGGGGAGCAAACA